CCUGAGAAACCCAAAAGAUCGAAUGGGGAGAUUCAUCGUCAGCGAAUCCGGUACGUGUGCAGGUUCGUGAUGCCGGGGACCUCGGUCCCGCGGCACGCGUCCGCAUGGUUUCUAUAUGCUGGAUCUCGUCGGCGUGCACUUCUCCCCUAGUAGGACGUCGCGACCCGUUGGGUGUCGGUCUACGGCCCGGGUGGGAGCCUGUCGUGUGUCACGCUUAACGGCGUCGUCAUGCGGCAGACCCCCGGUUGUCCGACCGACUGCCCGGCGGUACUCGCACGGUAUCGGGCCGCAUUUUGAACUGCGUCCGGCCCGUCGCAAGCGGAGGCUAGUCGUGUCCGGGUGUACGUACCUUGCGGUUGUCACCGGGCCUCCUGGCCAGCUGUUGGUCGACGGUGCUCUCGGACUGGCUCUCUAUAUGAUACCGGUCGGCGACGCUACUGCUUUGGGUACUUUCAGGACCCGUCUUGAAACACGGACCAAGGAGUCUAACAUGUGCGCGAGUCAUUGGGACUUAUCAAGCCUAAAGGCGCAAUGAAAGUGAAGGUCGGCCUUGCGCCGACCGAGGGAGGAUGGGCCGCGUCACGAUGCGGUCCCGCACUCCCGGGGCGUCUCGUUCUCAUUGCGAGAAGAGGCGCACCCAGAGCGU
Molecule: ribosomal RNA, 646 nt
Filed under: Phaestacoenitus sp. JM331
Lineage: Eukaryota; Metazoa; Arthropoda; Insecta; Hymenoptera; Ichneumonidae
Description: eukaryotic LSU rRNA
Rfam family: Eukaryotic large subunit ribosomal RNA
Source: RNAcentral